Peromyscus maniculatus bairdii (prairie deer mouse) is the source of this 11662-nucleotide non-coding RNA. Lineage: Eukaryota; Metazoa; Chordata; Mammalia; Rodentia; Cricetidae. The record is from RefSeq and is a predicted model, not a curated record.
CAGAUGGAUGGAUGGAUAGUUGGAUGGAUGGAUAGUUGGAUGGAUGGGUGGAUGGGUGAAUAGAUGGAUGGGUGAAUAGAUAAUAGCAGGUGGAUGAUGGAUGUAUGGAUGAGUUGUUUCAGGCUCUCUUCUCCCCUUCACUCCUCCAAGCACACCCAGCAAAACCACCUUUCCCACUACCUCUUCCCAAGGAGCCUUUGUCCCAAGUCCAUAAAUCUGUUUCAGUUCCAUGUCACACUGCCUUCCUCUGGACGACUGAAGAAUCUCUAAAAGGCCACCAGGCUUCUGUCCCCUGUAACCCUGCUGAGUGCUGUUGCCACCUUAGAUUCCCUAAGCUAAUCUUGAUCUUAUCUCUUUAUAUCUUAUCAAUCCAGAGGCUCCCCACUGUCUCCGGAAGAAAGACAGGACACUCUGGAAUGGCCUCCAGGUUUUAGUACACGAUCCCUGUAACUCCAUUCUCCUCCCAGUUUCUGCUCGGCCCUCUCAUGGCCUACAGUGCUUGACUCUUCACUGCCUCCAUACCAGACCUUAGCUAGUCUCACAUUCAUCCACCUACUCAGGAAAUAUUUACUGAGUAUUUAUGAUGCACCAGGCAUACCCUGACAGACUGGGGACGUGAUGGACAGGGAACUUAUUAAACGGCAGAGGAAUGACAAUAAAAAAAAUAGGCAUUGGCAUGCUGGGCUGCCAGAGGACUCGAGGAUAACACAACCGCGAAGCUGCUGUGGGGUGAUCAGGAUAGAAACACCAUGAGUUUGUUGAGCACCAUGUAGGAUGUUUGUUUACAAAACUGAAAUGAGCUGAGUUGUAUUUCCAGCCCUCUAUAUCUACUCAAGCCCCACCUGUCAAGAAGCCUCUUCUCGAUCCCUCUCACUAACUCUUCCAGCUGCAUCUCUGUGUGUACUCAGUGCCUCUCCCUGAUCUGGCUGUAGACAGAACUGGGCAUUACCCACCCGUGAAAUGGCACACUUCGGAGGUCCCUUGGAGCAGGUCAAGUACAGGCAUCAGAAAAGAACACUGCUAUGUCUUUCAGCCUGUUCCCCAAAUCAGCAGCUGAGCUCCCUGAAAACACCAGGCUCCCUGCCCUCACCCCUGUGGAUUUUAAAACUGUGGGGAACAGGAGGAUCCACAGACCCUCCAGUGGGGUCUCAUAGCCCUGCUUCCCUCUACACAGUAGGGCUUGGGCCAAAAGUUUCAAAUUGUGCCGGAGCCUCCUCUGGAGACAGCUUGGAGGUGAUAGACCAGAGUAGCCCAGGGACAGGGCUUCCAUCCGCAUCACUUUGGGUUUAUGUGGCACCUGCAUUGGAAAUUCCUUCCUGUUAGAAGGAAAUGUUCUACAGCUGGAAGGAGGAAGGUGGGGGCAGGUAAUAAGGGAGGGUUGGAUUGCUAGGGGUGGUAAUAUCAACGCAGAGGACUAUGGGAACAGUUUCUGUGACUUCUAGAACCUGCUGAUGCUUUUGGUGAGAAGAACCUCAGUUUGUGGCUGCCUGCUAAUUUCCAUUAUAACUCAAGAAACUUGACUUUCCCGAUCAUGUUAAUCACUGUUGUUGUUUGUUUGUUGUUUUGUUUUGUUUUUAUUGUUGUUUAUUUUCCUGUAGAGUGCAUUGGUCUUUCUCUUGCAAUGAGUUAUACCUCAAACAGCAUGGCUGGCCUGGAAGUCCACAUCUGGGGAUAUGUUUUACCCCCGUGUCACACCUUGCCUGUGUUUUCCUUCUCUGGUGUCAAAUGCUCACUUGUUCUCUUGAUUAAUAUCUGGGCUAUUUGAUAUCACUAAAUCACUCCUUCAGAGUGACAGAUGUGCACUACCAAGGCCAGGAGCUGAGGGCUCUCAGGUGCCCAAGAAGGGACUGAACCCUUUCAGUGAGACUCAGAGGCCCUUUGGCAAGAAGGCUUGGAAGAACCCAACCGGUUCACUGCUCACAGCUAAACAGUUUGGGGUCUCAUGGUUGUAAAGUGCUUUCUGGUGAAAGCAAUUGCAUAAUCUUCGUCACAAAACUCCCUUGUUAGAAAGUGCCCGAUCUGCCCCCAAUUUACACCCUUUUUCUAACAUACUCACCACGUCUUCAAGCCAUCUGUUAGCUUAGAGAAGGACAAAGCUAACUACCUGAGAAGACCACCUGUGUGCUUAUAUGUGAGAAGGUACUGUUGCUUGCAUAUCCUGUCUUUUUCCUUUUAAAAUAUAUUCUCCUCAUAAAUUGAUGCUUUUGUUACAUACUCUGUGACCUGGGCUACCUUUAAUUAGAUUCUUAAGCUGCAAGACACAUUCUUCAUUAAUUCUUUUCAGAGAAGCACGUGGACUCUUCAAGAUCCAUUUGAGUGGAUGAUAGACAAAUAAUGAAAAACUUCCUCUGCCCUCUUUGUCCAUUCUGCACUCACUCCACAGCAAUGCUACACCAGUGUCUUGUAGAGUGUUGGGGAGACCCAGUGAUGCCUGGAAUCCAGUCUCUUUCUUUAGGAUCCCUAGAGCCCUCCAUCUUCCUGGAAAGAGAGGUAAAGGACCAAAGUGUGCCCUGCUUCCUACCCACAUGGCCUCUGGAUAGUGGCUUUCAGCCAUCUGCUUCUUCUGUCUCAGGGCAAAUUUCCCAGCAGAUACAGAUGCAUGUGAGGAAUUUACAUAACAAGGUAACAAACACUGACAGGCAACUGCAUUGCCAGGAUGUGGAAGGGACUGACAACACUUUCAAGGUAGAUGAAAUGGGAUUGAGGGGAAAAAAAUGAUCAAGCGCAUGUAUGCCAUAUGUCAAAUUCUCUUCCUUAAAAACAAGCUGCUUUAAAGGUGUGUGUGUGUGUGUGUGUGUGUGUGUGUGUGUGUGUGUGUGUGUGUGUGUUCUUUGAGAAUUUCGUACAGUGUGUUCUGAUCAUGUUUAUCCACCUUCCCCUAAUUCCUUCCAGACCUACUCCCUACUCCCCUACCCACCAACUUUGUGUUCCUGCUUAGUUAGUUAGUUUUAUUUUUUUAUUAACCUAUCAAGCCCAGUUUGUGCUACCCACAUAGCCUUGUAUAUGUGACCUUCAACUGGAGCAUGGUCAACUUAUCAAGGGCUAUAUUCUCUGAUAAGAGGACAUAAACUGACUCCCUCUCUCCCAACAGCUGUUAAAAUUAUCUUCAGCUCAGGGUGAGUGAGACUUUGUGCCCACCUUCCAUGCUAGGAUUUGCUCUGGCUUGGGCUUGCACAGGUCUUGAGAAUGCUCUCAUAACUGCUGUGAGUUCGUGGACAUGCAGCUACCUUGCUGUGUCAUUGUUUUCUUGUAGUCGUCCGCCACCCCACUGUGUAGUAGUGGCAUAAGCAUCGUGGGUGUAACUACUAACACUCUGCUUCUGAUUGGAUCUAAGUCCCAUCCCACAUGAUGAAACCUAUGCUUGGCACCAUUACCCAACCAAGAACCUACAGCUAGACAGGUUAUAAGCCCCAGGAGAGAAUAUUAUUAUAUUCUAUAUAUUACUAUUAUUUGGUAAAUGGACAUAGUAUUUAAACUUAUAACUCAUUGUUAUAUCCAUAGAUUAACACUCAGUAUCUUCUUAUUCCAAAGAAAACCUUUAAAAUGAGAGAGGCAAAUGGGCAGGUGGACUAGCUCAGGAAGACACAGUUUAUUUCUGAAUCAAAUAACAGUCAAUUGACUGGAGUAGACACAGUAGUAAUGAUUGUGCAUCUUAUUAACUAGCUUUAUCCUGUGACACACAUUAGGUCAGAGUACCAGAGGGGUAGGAUGGAGGGUGGAGGAAGCUCAGUAGAGCACACUCGCCUCUGUGAAGUAGCUGACAGGUGAACACUACUGGCCCUCCAACCAUAGGCCUACAUCAAGCCAGUAGGCAGACUGGGGAGUAGAGGUCAACCCACUCAUCCUGCCUCACAGAAUCCACUCCAAAGUAGUGACUUCCUCCUUGAGGAAAGGAAGAGGGCUGAGGAUGGCCUGAGGAAGGAUGAAAGAACAAGAGCAGCACCUUAAGACCUGAGUUUGGGGGGUACCCACUGAAGUGGAUGCUCUGUGAACUCUGGAGAAACUUCCAGAGAACUUCUUGACACGCAGAAGACAUAAACUCCAAAGGCAAGAGAGUGAGAUAACAGGGAAGGGUAACAACAUAGCCAGCGAGGGAGCUCCCUUGGCCAAGAAAUAGAUUGAGAGAUAGAGAAGGGUUUUAAGGAAACAGAACUCAUUGUCAGAUGGAUAUCUCAGUAAGAGCAGAUGUGUUGCUGCUGAGCAUUGACUGGAUGAUGCGGAAAAGCCUUCCUAGGAAUGCCCACAAAGAAGGUAGAAAAGGGCAACAUUAAGAGAGAAGACAAAGCACCCGGGGAACAGAAAAGGGAGAACCAACAUAUGUAAAAUUGAACUAGCUGCUUGUAAGAAGGUGGAGAGUUUCAGGGGUCCUGGAACAAUUCCCAGAACAGUUAGAAGUUCCUAAAAGAGGCAUCUAUGCAAAAAAACAUGAAAACUGACACAACUAUAAAAGAAUAUAACUUUUCUUUGCUGAGUAACAAUGUGAUAGUCACAUCUGGGUGUUUUUGAACUACGUUAAGUACUUGGCAAAAAUUUCAUUACAUAUGUUUAUUUAUUUAGGGGAGGGGAUACAUGUCACGGCAUGCAUAUGGGGAUCAGAGAACAACCUGCCUUGGACAGUUCUCUCCUCCCACCAUGUAGGUCCUGGGGACAGAAGUCAGGUUGUCAAGCUUGGUGGCCAGUGCCUUUACUCUCUGAACCAGCAUCCCAGAUUCCAUACAGCUAUAAAGAAAUCUUACACCUACCCAAGGACACACACACACACACACACACACACACACACACACACACACACACAAUAACAAUCAGACAGACUGUUUAGAAAAUGAAGGAAAGCAUGCCUGUUACUUUCAGUAACAUAAAUACUAGUUUCAGAACAGUAAAUUCAAAGAAAAUAAGAGCAUUUGUGUGAUUGGGGCUAUGUUGUUUUGUUUUAGGAGUGAAAAUUGGUGUUAUAGAAGGAGUGUGCCCAGCAAACUGAAGGCAACAAACACUUUUUAGUUAUGUUUCAGGUGUCAGAAAAUGUGUAAGUGUUUAGAAAAAUAAAUGCCUGAAGAUUUAUUUCAGUUGAUAAAGAGAGGAAGUUUGGUGUUGUACAUUAGAAAUCUGCUUGCACGCUAGCUUUAGCUUUUCAUUCAUCCUAUGGAACUGCAAUGUUACACUCUUUGACCUGAAUCCCUUUCCCUCUUGCCCCAACAGCAUCCGCCAUUUUAACUGUUCUAUGUAUUUUUUUAACUUUCUAUUCCAUAUACAAGCAAGAUCAUGCAACAGUCUCCCUCCCCUACAUCUGUGGUUUGUUUUUUUUUUUCACUUAAUAUCCUCUGGGUUUAUUUAUUCUGUAACAAGUAGCAAAAUCUCCUUUUUCAAGGCUGAACAAUAAUUCAUUAUAUAUAAAUAUAAUUUCAUUAUUAUCAGCUGAUGGACAUGAGUUGUUUUAAUAUCUUUCCUAUUACGAAUAAUGCUGUGUGAGCACCAGAGUGCAGACAUCUCUGUAAGGUGCAGCUUUCAUUUCCCCUGAGUAUAAAACCAGAAGAGGGAUUCUAGCUGAUGUUGUGGUUUUAUUUUUAGACAUUUGAGGAACCUCCUUUCUGCUGCUCCUACCAUCGCUUGCUGUCUCUUGUCCUUCUUUUGGACAGCACCCGUUACUGCAUGAGGUGAUACCUCAUUGUCCCAUCAUGGAUUUGAUUCUCAUCUCCUUACUGGUAACUUGAGUAUCUUUUCACUCACUAGCCAUUAGGGGGUGGGGAAUAAGCAAAUGUGGGGACAUGUGAACCCGUGUGGAGGCACUCUCCACCUUCUCUUCUGGUGUAUAUGAGAGACACAGGGUUUCUCACAGAACCUGGUGCUCACUGAAUCAUCUUUACUAACUGGCCUGGGAGCCCCCAGCAUCCUCUUCUCUCUGCCUCUCCAGUGCUGGGAUUACAGGUAUGUACCACUGGGCUGUUUUGUUGUUGUUGUUGUUGUUGUUGUUGUUGUUUUGGUUUGGUUUGGUUUGGUUGGUUGGUUGGUUGGUUGGUUUGUCUGUUUAAUGGAGGUUCUGUGGCUCAAACUCAACAUGCUUUUAUAACAAGCAUUUCACCAACUGAACCAUCUUCCCAGUCCUUCCUGGCCAUUCUUAUGUCUUCCUUGAAGAAAAUGGCUACUCAACUCAUGCCCCCUUGUUUAGUUGAGGGGUAUUUUUUGGUUCUGUUUGCUUGCCACAGAGUUGGGUAAGCCCUUUGCCUACUGUGAAGAGCAACCAUUUUAUUAACACUCAGUUUGUGAAUCUUUCUUCCAGUCUCUGGACCACCUUUUCACUGUGUUCUUUUCUUUUCUGUACAAAACUCUUUAGUUUGUUCUCAUUCCAGAUAUUUGUUUUUGCUUCAGUUGACUGAGGAAUUCAUUGCCAAGAUCAUCACUGCCAAGGAGUUGUUUUUCACCCUGUUUUCUUUAGAGUUCCAGGUCUACAUUUGGGAUGGUUGGUUGUUAUUGAUGUGAAGAAAGACCAGUUGACUGUUGUGUUGAUUUUGUGUCCUCUUAAACUGAAAUAAAAUGUCUCAAAUCAAAAAAGAAUAUAUAUAUUUAAAAUUCUAAUUACUGAAACCUAACUCUGUGUGUUCUGAUUUCUUGAAAUCAAGACCAGAGAGCAAAGGAAGGGGGUGUUGACCAAGCAACCUGAGGUCCCUACUACACUAAGGGAGGACUCAGAAAUGUUUCCACUUGAGCAUCUGGCAAACACUGUAAUUGCUUUAAAAGGAGUGAAAAGAAGACUUUUCAAACAAGACUGAAGAAAUGUACCACCAAGUUACUGUCUGGAAGAGGUCCAGCAAGUCAACUAUUCAAGGAAUGAGAAAACAAAUGAAGGGCUGGAGAGAUGGCUCAGCAGUUAAGAGCUCUGGAUGCUCUUCCAGAGGACCCCAGUUCUGUCCCCAGCACUCACAUGGCAGCUCACAACAUCCAUAACUCCCAGGGGAUCCAACGCCCUCUUCUGUCCUCUAUGGGCACUGCAUGAACAUAGUACACACACACACACACACACACACACACACACACACACACGCACACGCGCGUGCAGGAAAGUAUCUACACAUAAAUCAUAAGUCAUGUUUUUUAAAAAAAAUAAGUAAAUGAAGAAUAACAAAGUCAGAGGAAAGAGAAACAUGAGUACAGGAACUGUUGCAUGGAUAAAGGAUUGGGAUUGGUAACAGUAAGAUGUCACUAAAAUGCAGAAGAAAAAUAGAGCAGUUUGAUAUGAGAGUUAAAGAGCCAGAAUUUUGUAAACAGUAGAACCAUUCUGAGACCAUGCAAAAAUAUUGAAUACUUUUCUAUGUUAUAAACCAGCCAUGCCUGAAGUAUUAAUGGUGUCCACUUCCAAAUAAACAGUGGGAGCAAAGAGGGAUAAUGAAAGUUAAUCAAUACUGUGGAAAGGAGGAAAGUGGGGGUUGGGUAAUGUAGACAUAAAGCAUGAGAGAAGAUAAUGGAAUUAAGUCCAGACACACUAGCGAUGAGAACAAAUACUGUGUGGUAAGCUCAUCAUUCUAAAGGACGAACAUCAGAUAGACUACGAAGAAAUCCAUUAUCUACUGUUUAAAAGAAAACAUAUCUAAAGCCAUAAUGACUCACAUGUAUUCAAAAUAAAUGGAUAAGAGAAAAAUACAAUAGGCAAAUAUUAUUUUUAAAAAGCUGGCACCACUGGAUUAAUACCAAACAGAAUAAAUAUUAUGGAAAAGGCAUCAUGAAUAAUGAAGAAGGUCACUACAUAAUAAUAAAGAGCUAAUUGUUUGAGAAAGACACACGAAUCUGAAUUUCUAUGUAGCUAAGGUAUAGCCUCAAAACAAGCAGAUUUUCAAGGAGGAGCUGAUAGAUCUGUCAAUAGAGAGAGUAAUUUUACCAGGCCUCCUUUUGUUAUUGAUACAUUGUGAAGCCUGACUGCUUAUGAGGCCACAAAUUGCAAUCAAGACCAAAUGGCCUGCCACCUGGCUAGCGUCGCUUGACCUCAAAGCCAUCCAAUUAAAAAUCAAUAACAGAAGAAACUGAAAAGGAGUCAUGAUGGGAACGGGAAGGAUGUAGAAGGCGACGACAGAAACAUUUUGUACCAUGCACUGGAACUUCUGGAAAACCAACCGGAAGGCUCAAAGCAGCUCACUGGGAGCUCAGAAAAGGCAAGAGGGCUGCAAUUAACUGUGUGGAAACAAGCAACAGGAGGAUAAAUACACACAAUUACAGGAAUAGGGAAUGAAUUAUUAACAAGAUCCUCAUAUUUCAAAGUUCACGCUAAGGAAGAGAAGCCAUUUUUUUUUAAGUCUUCCAAGCUGGACACUGCUGUGUACUACUCUGUGGCUUCAAUCCCAGCACUCAGGAUAGAGAAUGGAAGAUUUGGGGUCCCAGGCCAUGCUGGGCUACAUGGCAGAACUCUGUUUCUCACUGUCAACCCCCUUUAUUUUAUUUUAUUUUAUUUCAUUUUUGAGAUAAGACUUUUCUAAUAAGAUUGAGCUAGUUUGCCAGGAAUAGGGUAUGUAACGAGACACAACAAAAAUAAAUAUUAGGGAUGAAAGGGGCAUAUGCAUGCAAAGUAAACUUUGAAAUACUAUGCCACUUGAAUGAAGUAGUAAUGUUUCCUGAGAAGAAAAUACAGCGUAUAAAAUCUGAUUCACACCAAAAAAAAAAAAUGAAAAUAGUUGAGUAGAGUGAUUACCAUGAAAGGAUUUGAAUCAGCAAUUUAAAUCUACUAGGCUCCCAAAAAGGAAACAACAUUAAGUCUAAACGUUUUGCUAGUGAAUUCUACUACAAACAUUGAACAGUGUGACUCCCAAACCUUGUCAGGAGGUGGAGAUACAGUGCCGUUGGGCUUGUCCCAGGACAGAAAGAAUGGUCCAAUUUUAGAGAAAUAUAUUCACUUCAUUGACUGACUAAAAGACAAAACACAUAUGGUCAUCUCAAGAGCCUAAGACCAAACUUUGAUAAAAAUGCAGAAUGAACUUUAAAAAUAUUGAAUAAAAGAGCUGGGAAUAUAACUCAGUAGUAGGGCACUUGCCUAGUGUGUAUGAGAGACUGGGUUCAAUUCAUAGCAUCUCGAUACAUGAGUGAAGAAGAACAGAAACUUUAUUGGGAUAGAACACAUACAGAACUCCAGAUCAAAUGUCCUAUUAUCCAGGGAAUCCUCAGUGUCCCCUCUAUAGGUAGGAAAGAAUGAUGCUUCCUCUCUUGACCACUACUCAGCACUCUGCUGCAGGCGCCUGCUAGCCACUUGACCAUAUGGAAAAGCAGUGGAUGAUGUAGGGGAGGGAAGAUGUCCACCUUGGGUGACAGUUGAUACAUCCAAAACUCACGUGGCUGGACAGAGAAAUCAUCAGACCACACAAGACAUUGCCAAAGCUGCUGGUUGCAAAGUCAAUAUAUUUUUAAAAAAUAGCUUUUUUUCAGCAUCAAAACCAAGUCAUUUUAACAAUAUAGCAUUUUAAUGUCAAAUUGUAAAACUCAGACAUUUCUUGACAUGAAUCUAAAGCAUAUUUAGAAUAACACUUUCUUUAGAAAGCUUCAAGAGGCCUAUGUGGACACAUUAUAAAAGCUUUAUUAAUAUAUUUAAAAUAACCAAGGAGCCAAACUUGCCUCAAAAGGAGAGAAUUUGUAGCCACUUUCCCCAAUUUUACCUGGAAAUUUAGUUCAAGUGUAGAAUGUACCCAUUGUAUUUUUUGAGGAAUUUGGCGAUUUAAUCAUAAACUUCAAAGGCAAAAGGUAGGACCAAGCAGAACAAACUGGAAUAAACCAGAGUGGGAGGCUUCUGCCAGGUUUUGAAACUUACAAUGCCCAUAAUUAAAAAAAUACAGAAUUCACAUAACGAUUUAGCACCAAUGCAUAUAUAGAAAACUCACCCUCCAGGGAAGCGUAAUAAAUAUCAAGGCCAGAUAAGCCACCAAUAAAUGUUGCUGGAAACAUUUAGAAACUGUGAUUGAGUUUCUGUCCCACACCAAAUGUAAUCAACUUCAGGCAUAUUGAAAACAAAUGUUUAAAUGUAAAAUGUUAAAAUAUUUCCGAAGAAAAUAUUCUAGAAUACUUAAUAAGGCAAGGAUGAAGAGAGAGAUUUCCUAAAGGUACCGAAAAUAGAGACUGUGAAGGAAAGUACAGCUAUGCUUAGCCAGAAAAAGGGAAAGUGGUUGAAAAACAGCAGAAAUAGUCAAGUCUCACAGUGGGAGAAAAGAUUUAGGCCCUACUUUAAAAAAAAAAAAAAAGAAAGUGCUAUCAUCCACAAUAUAUAAAGAAUUUCUAUGAACCAAUAAGAAAUAUCUGUUUAAAACCAUCCAUGCAUUCACUUGGCAGUUCACUCACUAAAAUUUGAACCAUGUAGAGAUUAGAAUGGUUCCCAUGCUAAGAUGUCAUGCAAAUUUGUGGCACCUUCCAUAUUUUUAAGCCACAUCCAAAAGAACAAAUAUUGUAUGAUUCCACAGAUAUGAAAUAUUUCAAGUUGGCAAACUCAUAGACACUGUGAACAGAUGAGAGCUUGCCAGGGACUUGAAGUUCGGGGUGGGGUGGGGGAUGAUCAGGAGGUACAGCUUUUUAGUGAUCACACAGUGUCUAUGUGGGGUGACAAAAGAGUUUCAGAAAUAGAUGGCGGUGAUGCCUGCACAACACUAUGCAUGUAAUUAAUGGUGCUGGAUUUUACACUUAGAACGAUUUCAAUUCAAAUUCUGUAUGAUGAUAAUGUGUGACCACAAUAAAAGAAGAUAUUAAAAAGGGGAGCAAGAAAUUCAGACAGACACUUCAGAUAAAGUACAAAUGUCCUAACAAUAUCUGCAGAGAUGUCUAAAUGAAAACAACACCACGAUGAUACUUCUCACCUACUGCCAGGCAGAAAUCAUCAAGUAAGAAUAAGGAGAGCUGGUAGGACAGGCAGCAAUGGGAGCUGUCACGAGGUGCCCAUAGGAGUGUUAGUCAGUUCAAAUGCUUUGGAAAGGAGGAGGCCAUCACUCCCCAGAGCUUUGGAAACACGUGCUUCCCGUUGCCUUAAUUACAGUGGGGCACUGGCUGCCAUAAGAAGAAGAAGAACAAGACAUGGCUUCGAGGGAAAGAAGUUUAUUUUUCUCAUACAUCUCACUUCUGACUCUCACAGUCUGGGUUACUUGGGUAACUCUGAUCCUCCCAGCUUUGGGGGGAUGCAGUUCUUUCCUGGGCUUUUUCUGCAAAGUUGAAGGUGGACCACUGAGCACCUUUGGGUUUUGACUAAUGAGGAGGGAGCGUGGAGGAAGCACACUGCUUGUCAUGGGCUCUGAUGAAGAGCAGCAGAAUGGGAAGCUGUUAAGGGUGCUCAGCAGAAAGGGAGCCUGGGAAAUGUGGGAAGAAGCAGGAAGACAUUCUGAUGGAGGACUGGGAGUCUGUUGUGCCCUGAUUACAUUUUGAUGGACACCUGGAACUCUCUGCUCUAUUCUAAGCAAUCUCAUGACUACAUGUACCUUGCAACUCUCCUGUGCAUGGCCACCAGGAGACAUAUGCAAGAAAGAUAAUAGGCACACCAUGACAUUAUGAAAAAGAAAGAAACCACCCAAAUGCUCAUCACUGUGGUAAUAAUAAAGUAAAAUCAUGAAAAAUAAAAAUUAAGAAAUAAAAAUAAAAAUCAAGAAAAGUAAAUCAUGGCAUACUCAUUUGCUGGAGUGAAAAUAAACAGACUACUGGGACACAAUUGGGAAAGGCC